This 460-nucleotide ribosomal RNA is filed under the name uncultured bacterium. RNAcentral describes it as "partial 16S ribosomal RNA". It matches the Rfam family "Bacterial small subunit ribosomal RNA", at positions 338 to 795 of the family's 1533-position model. The record is from RNAcentral.
CCUACGGGUGGCAGCAGUGAGGAAUAUUGGUCAAUGGACGCAAGUCUGAACCAGCCAUGCCGCGUGCAGGAAGACGGCUCUAUGAGUUGUAAACUGCUUUUGUACGAGGGUAAACGCAGAUACGCGUACCUUUCUGCAAGUACCGUACGAAUAAGGAUCGGCUAACUCCGUGCCAGCAGCCGCGGUAAUACGGAGGAUUCAAGCGUUAUCCGGAUUUAUUGGGGUUAAAGGGUGCGUAGGUGGUCGGGUAAGUUAGAGGUGAAAUCCCGAGGCUCAACUUCGGAAUUGCCUUUGAUACUGUUCGGCUAGAGAGUAGUUGCGGUAGGCGGAAUGUAUGGUGUAGCGGGGAAAUGCUUAGAGAUCAUACAGAACACCGAUUGCGAAGGCAGCUUACCAAGCUACUUCUGACGUUGAGGCACGAAAGCGUGGGGAGCAAACAGGAUUAGAUACCCUUGUAGUC